Molecule: long non-coding RNA, 468 nt
Organism: Homo sapiens (human)
Lineage: Eukaryota; Metazoa; Chordata; Mammalia; Primates; Hominidae
Source: Ensembl
UCUCCGAGCGGCGGGCCGAGGGAGGGCGCAGCAGCUGCUCCCUGAACACUUUCUGACCCAACAGUCCCCCAGCGCCGGACGCGCCGCGCCCUGGCGGCUCUAGGGACCCCCCCCGCGCCUGCACUUAGCCCCGCGCCCGAGUCCACAGACAAACGAAUUUAAAGGAGCAACCGAGGAGGCACCUGCGAAAGAAAGCCCACACACAGGUGAAUUUAAAGGAGCAGCCCUGGUGUCACCUAUCAGUAAAAGGUGAGUUAUAAAUACAUGAAGACACACGUAUGCAUAAGAGUGCAUAGAGCUAUACACACACCAAGCACAUACACAAAUAUAUCCAUCCAUCUUCAUCCAUACACACUUUUGUCAACACAUUUACACAAACCCAUGCACAAAAUGGAAACACAAAACACGGAGACAGAUGGACAUUUGUGGAAUUUACUCUCAGGAGCCUGCAUGGCCAUACAGAGUGUU